GUCAAUAUAGUUUAACAAAAACAUCAUACUUUCAUUAUGUAAUUAGAUUAUUAUAAUCUUAUUGAUU
RNAcentral lists this transfer RNA (67 nucleotides) under Brachycerus muricatus. RNAcentral's name for it is "tRNA-Glu". Lineage: Eukaryota; Metazoa; Arthropoda; Insecta; Coleoptera; Brachyceridae. The record is from RNAcentral.